Molecule: long non-coding RNA, 487 nt
Filed under: Vulpes vulpes (red fox)
Lineage: Eukaryota; Metazoa; Chordata; Mammalia; Carnivora; Canidae
Description: lncRNA (ENSVVUG00000002677.1)
Source: RNAcentral
AUGAGACCCCUUCCCGGCCGACGGCGAGGCUGCCCGGAAACCGACGGGAGCUUCCGGGUCGUGGUGGCCGCUGCAGGGGGUGGUUUCCCGCUGCUGUUCCUGCGAGGCCGGCGUCCUCCCGCCGUGAGACGUUGGUCUGUCGGGUGGGCAGCACGUCCGUCCGUUCGCGAGAGGCACGGUGGCACCAUGCUGGACCCCGCCAGUCCGCGCGCGCCGUGCAGACAGCCCAGGAGGCCUGAGGGCGCUCCCCCGACCCCCAGGACGCCCGCGCUCCGGCCUGGCCCAGGGCCCCCCGCGAGGACGGACGCACGCACGUCGGGAAGAUUGCUACUUCCUAGAGAAAAAGCUCUCACUGCCUUUAUACAGCCAGCCAGUUGGAGGAAAGGCCCUAAUUAUCUUUCCAAGUUCUGGCACUCAGACUCUAUUUCCUAUUUUGGCUUAAGAUCAAACAAAAUGUGAAAGGAAUAAAAAAGAAAUCAACAAGGCA